AGCUAGGAAGUGGCCCCGUGACACAUGCAACGUCUGGUUCAUAUUGUUGCUUUCUCGUAUAAAUGUGAGCCCUUUCACUCCCCAUGUGGAGGGAAAACUCCAAUAUGGUUGGCUCAUAUUCCGAUGGUGACUAAGUUGAAGAACAUCAACAACAAGGGCAAGGCCAUAAAAUGAAUGUCAUCUCCAGCACAAUUCUGCAGCCAAUCACUUGCAUCCAACGGAUCAGCAUAGUACCGCCCUUGUAAUUUCAUUCCUUUUUAGUCCUUUCCCUUCGAAGGUACUACGGCUUCUUUUUAUAAUUUUUUCAUCCACAUUCUUUCUUUCGUUGUUAUAUCAUACCCACAAACACAUCACAGUUAAGCUGACUUGUUCUUUCACCAUAGACAUCUCAGUGUUUCCUAGUGCAAAACAUCCUGAUGCUGAUGUAAUUUAAUUGUCACUUGCAAUGUGUGGACAUGUAACUUUCACAUGUAUAUUGCUAUCCCUCGUACCUUUUAUUUAAUCUGCAUUAUGUAGGAAGCUUCGUUAUCCAAAUGGGGCAAAGCUUUCUACUGUAUUUUUGGUGUUAGAAUUUCCUUCAUCUAUACUGCACGGUACCGAGCUGGUUCUGUCAAGCACUUCUCUCCACGGCAUGCACCGUUCAAAAUUGUUUUGGCCCCCUCUGGAGUGGACUCUACAGGCAUGGCUCUUAUUUGGACCCAACAGCAAAAUAUCUAGGUUAUAGGUACAACUCGAAAAGACCUCCUUAUAUGCAUGUAAAAAAUUCUAGCAGAAGUUUACAUCUCGCAUUUCUUCAUUCACAGCCAAUUGGACUUGCCGAUUUAGGAAUUUUCCACUUUAUUUCUGACUGGAUCAAUCCUAUAACCACUGUUAUAACAGAUUUCGUCACAACGCAUAAUUCUGAAGGAACACACAGGAGAGAAAGAGAAAGCACAGUGACAUCAAAGAUGUUGAUGUUAUAGCAUGAAUAUUACUAAACUUAUUUCAUAAAUAUUGUUAAAUAAAGUAGAAUCUAUUGAAAUAUGAUGAUAAAGCAUGAGUAUUAGAGAGAUGGAUCUGAGAUAUUCUCCCUGCGGGCUACAAGGGCUAAGCAGACUCCUCUCCUAGGUAAAGCCGAAUGCUGCAAUAAAAAGAUUGAGUCGUUAUCCUGCUAAAAUUUUCCAUUUGUUUCUUUUGGACACCAUUGAGUUAUAAACAGCCUCAAUUAAGCCAAAAGCUGCUUAAUUGUGUAAUCUUUUGAUUGUAUUCAUAAA
RNAcentral lists this unclassified non-coding RNA (1253 nucleotides) under Hevea brasiliensis (rubber tree). Lineage: Eukaryota; Viridiplantae; Streptophyta; Magnoliopsida; Malpighiales; Euphorbiaceae. The record is from RNAcentral.